This 30-nucleotide non-coding RNA is filed under the name Rattus norvegicus (Norway rat). The record is from RNAcentral. Lineage: Eukaryota; Metazoa; Chordata; Mammalia; Rodentia; Muridae.
UUUGAGUUUUCCAGUCUGUAAUCAUGAUGC